RNAcentral lists this ribosomal RNA (464 nucleotides) under uncultured Acidimicrobiales bacterium. Its description in RNAcentral is "bacterial SSU rRNA". It matches the Rfam family "Bacterial small subunit ribosomal RNA", at positions 28 to 505 of the family's 1533-position model. Lineage: Bacteria; Bacillati; Actinomycetota; Acidimicrobiia; Acidimicrobiales. The record is from RNAcentral.
GACGAACGCUGGCGGCACGCUUAACACAUGCAAGUCGAACGAGAUCCAUGGAGCUUGCUCCAGAAGAUCUAGUGGCGAACGGGUGCGUAACACGUGAGAAAUCUGCCCCGAACUUGGGAAUAACAGUCGGAAACGACUGCUAAUACCGAAUACCUUCACGACGUCGCAUGGCGAUGUGAAGAAAGCUUUAUGCGGUUUGGGAGGCUCUCGCGGCCUAUCAGCUUGUUGGUGAGGUAACGGCUCACCAAGGCAUCGACGGGUAGCUGGUCUGAGAGGAUGAUCAGCCACACUGGGACUGAGACACGGCCCAGACUCCUACGGGAGGCAGCAGUGGGGAAUAUUGCACAAUGGGCGCAAGCCUGAUGCAGCGAUGCCGCGUGCGGGAUGAAGGCCCUAGGGUUGUAAACCGCUUUCAGUAGGGAAGAAAAUGACGGUACCUACAGAAGAAGGUGCGGCCAACUACG